This 71-nucleotide transfer RNA is filed under the name Camelus bactrianus (Bactrian camel). It matches the Rfam family "tRNA". From Rfam's summary of the family: Transfer RNA (tRNA) molecules are approximately 80 nucleotides in length. Lineage: Eukaryota; Metazoa; Chordata; Mammalia; Artiodactyla; Camelidae. The record is from Rfam by way of RNAcentral. RNAcentral also lists the same sequence under 2 other names.
GAGGGUGUAGCUCAGUGGUCGAGCUGUGCUUAACAUGCGUGAGGUCCUGGGUUCAAUCCCUAGUACCUCCA